RNAcentral lists this ribosomal RNA (462 nucleotides) under uncultured Lactobacillus sp. Its description in RNAcentral is "bacterial SSU rRNA". It matches the Rfam family "Bacterial small subunit ribosomal RNA", at positions 83 to 524 of the family's 1533-position model. Lineage: Bacteria; Bacillati; Bacillota; Bacilli; Lactobacillales; Lactobacillaceae. The record is from RNAcentral.
UACAGGCUAGCGGCGGGAACGGGGUGAGUAACACGGUGGGGUAACCUCGCCCAAGAGAUCGGGGAUAACACCUGGGAACAGAUGCUAAUACCGGGAUAACACAGAUGUGCCUAUCAACUGUUUUAAAAAGAUGGUUCUGCUAUCACUCUUGGGAUGGGACCCUGCGGUGCAUUAGCUAGUUGGUAGGGUAACGGCCUACCAAGGCGAUGAUGCAUAGCCGAGUUGAGAGACUGAUCGGCCACAUUGGGACUGAGACACGGCCCAAACUCCUACGGGAGGCAGCAGUAGGGAAUCUUCCACAAUGGACGCAAGUCUGAUGGAGCAACGCCGCGUGAGUGAAGAAGGGUUUCGGCUCGUAAAGCUCUGUUGUUGGUGAAGAAGGACAGGGGUAGUAACUGACCUUUGUUUGACGGUAAUCAAUUAGAAAGUCACGGCUAACUACGUGCCAGCAGCCGCGGUAAU